Molecule: transfer RNA, 76 nt
Filed under: Cordylochernes scorpioides
Lineage: Eukaryota; Metazoa; Arthropoda; Arachnida; Pseudoscorpiones; Chernetidae
Description: tRNA-Glu
Source: RNAcentral
UGUCCAAUGCGGGAAUCGAACCCGGGUCGUAGUGGUCGAAAACCAAACUGUUUACCAGCCUUCCACCGACCCCGAC